UGUUACACAUAUAAAUCGUUUUCUUUAUAGCAUUUCGAUUUAGGGUCAAUCUUAAAUUUCGAAUAAAUCAAAUCCAUUUUCUAAAUUGAGUGAUAUUGAUUUUAUAUUUCAGUUACGGCUAGCUCAAACACCUGGCUUAUAGUGAUACUGGCAUCUGUGGUCGGUGUCCUAUUGAUAAUCGUGUAUGUUGGAAUAUGGUGGUGUGUAAGAAGAAACAGACAGAAUGGCAUACCAAGUACGUCAGCUUCGGAAUUACAGACUACACAAAGUAUGGAAGAUGCUGUAAAAAAUUCAACCGCAUGUAAAAACUGCUCAGAAAAUCAAGAGUCGUCUUAUUGUACAAUAAAUGACGCAGGAAACAACGAGUUGUUGCAAAAGUUGCCAGCAUCCGCCCUGGACUACAAAACACUACAGUGUAACGAGGUCGACAGUGACGGAUAUCUGAAGCUAAAAGAAAAGCGUUCAGUGUAAAACACAUGACGAAUGACAAUCAUGCCAAGGCGGGGUCCCUUUUGACUAAUGUUUAUUGUAUAGGCAUACACUAUUGUAAUUAUCUAUUGUUUGUUUACGUGAUAUAAUCAUUUGCCAAGCCAUAGUGAGAGUGUUGAAUGUUUCAAUUUUAAUUUUGACUUUUUUAAUUUUUCUUGAUUUAUUCUAUUUAAGAA
Long non-coding RNA from Mya arenaria, 665 nucleotides. RefSeq lists it as uncharacterized. NCBI's taxonomy places the organism in Eukaryota, Metazoa, Mollusca, Bivalvia, Myida, Myidae. The record is from RefSeq and is a predicted model, not a curated record. The transcript is spliced from 3 exons.